GAUGAACGCUGGGGGCGUGCUUAACACAUGCAAGUCGAACGAAGCUACCCAAAGGAAGUUUUCGGAUGGAAUUUAGGCAGACUUAGUGGCGGACGGGUGAGUAACGCGUGGAUAACCUGCCUUAUACAGGGGGAUAACGGAGAGAAAUUUCCGCUAACACCGCAUAAGACCACAGCACCGCAUGGUGCAGGGGUAAAAUAUUUAUAGGUAUAAGAUGGAUCCGCGUCCGAUUAGCUAGUUGGUGAGGUAAAGGCCCACCAAGGCGACGAUCGGUAGCCGGCCUGAGAGGGUGAACGGCCACAUUGGGACUGAGACACGGCCCAAACUCCUACGGGAGGCAGCAGUGGGGAAUAUUGGACAAUGGGGGAAACCCUGAUCCAGCGACGCCGCGUGAGUGAAGAAGUAUUUCGGUAUGUAAAGCUCUAUCAGCAGGGAAGAAAAUGACGGUACCUGACUAAGAAGCCCCGGCUAACUACGUGCCAGCAGCCGCGGUAAUACGUAGGGGGCAAGCGUUAUCCGGAUUUACUGGGUGUAAAGGGAGCGCAGACGGCAAUGCAAGUCUGAAGUGAAAGGCGUGGGCUCAACCCAUGAACUGCUUUGGAAACUGUAUAGCUUGAGUGUCGGAGGGGUAAGCGGAAUUCCUAGUGUAGCGGUGAAAUGCGUAGAUAUUAGGAGGAACACCGGAGGCGAAGGCGGCUUACUGGACGACAACUGACGUUGAGGCUCGAAGGCGUGGGGAGCAAACAGG
RNAcentral lists this ribosomal RNA (748 nucleotides) under uncultured Lachnospiraceae bacterium. Its description in RNAcentral is "bacterial SSU rRNA". It matches the Rfam family "Bacterial small subunit ribosomal RNA", at positions 28 to 776 of the family's 1533-position model. The record is from RNAcentral. Lineage: Bacteria; Bacillati; Bacillota; Clostridia; Lachnospirales; Lachnospiraceae.